Molecule: unclassified non-coding RNA, 683 nt
Filed under: Hevea brasiliensis (rubber tree)
Lineage: Eukaryota; Viridiplantae; Streptophyta; Magnoliopsida; Malpighiales; Euphorbiaceae
Source: RNAcentral
AGUAAGUGUUAGUUAUGGCGUUUGUUCCCAUGUUCUCUCGGUUUCUUGGUGUUUUCAGCUCAGUAUGAAUAAUGUGCAGUGUCAUGAUUUUUCUCUCAUGAGUUAACAUGUAUAGCUGCACCCGGUGUUCAUUAAUGUGAAUUCGACUGUUCGGACAGUGCAUUUUCAGUUUAGUUUAUCUCCCUUUCAGUCUUCACUUUAAGUUUUCUUUGUGUCCCCUGAAAAGUUCUCUUACCAUUGCUUAAUGUGCUGUCCCUUUGGAGUCGCUUGGCAUGCCCUGUUUUAAGAGUUCUUUCAUCAAAUGUUGAUUCUAUGUGUACUCUAAGCAUUAAGCGUGAUUCAUGUGAUGAUGGAGGUUGUUGUAACGUUAUACAUUGGUCGUUAUAGGCCUCGGCUCGAGUUCGUAUUUGUGAGGUUAAUUAAUGCGUUGUUUGGGGUUGUUGGUGUCCAAUGUUUGUCUCUCUUGGUUGGUUCUCUUUAAUAAGUUUCUUACGUUGCUUGAGCUUGUUAUUCGAACUCAAAAAAAAAAAAUUGGUUAGGGAGUUUUGAGGUUUGCUUCAAUAAGCCAUGGCACUGUUAUUUGCUUUUCUUUUCUUAGGCUUGGGAUGAUAUGUUGGUUUCAUGUGGACAACUCUUCUUCUUUUGACUUCUACAUCUUAAUGAAAGCAUGACUUCCCUUUGUU